This 1071-nucleotide long non-coding RNA is filed under the name Cricetulus griseus (Chinese hamster). RNAcentral's name for it is "lncRNA (ENSCGRG00015031850.1)". Lineage: Eukaryota; Metazoa; Chordata; Mammalia; Rodentia; Cricetidae. The record is from RNAcentral.
AACAAGUUGUCUUCUGACUUCUGUGUCUACACUGCACCACAUAUACCUACAGAAUAAAUGAAUGGGUAAGCAAUAAAGAGGGGAGAAAGAAAGAAAGAAAGAAAGAAAGGGGAAAAAAAGAAAACCAGGAAACUAGAUGGCCUAUGGCCUGGACCUUGCUUAUUGUCAGUCCUCCCUAGGGCCCAGCCUCAUCUCUUCCUACAUUCUCAAGCUGUAGUUUCUCCAGUCCUCUUCAGACUAGUGCUCACCUGUGGCAUUUCCUCUGCUGUGGAAGCUUCCACUUUCCUUUUCUUUUGCCCACGCAUCCUAUACUCCUCAGCUGUACCUAGAACCCUUUGUUGCACCCCUUCCUCAAACUGGAUACGAUGCUGCCUUCAAUGUUCAUCCCAUCUUUUCUUGACCUGGAAUGCUUCGUACUAGACUUGACUUGGCUGUUUCUGUGACUUUCAUUGCACCAGCAUCAGAGCCAGGAGGAUAGGAACCCCUUAGUUGCUGCUGUGUAGGCCAGCCUGAUUGACCUGAGAGCAUCUGGGGAUUCUCUGCCUCCUGUUUCCCUGUAGGAUUUCUGGGAUUACAGAUGUACACCAUCACGACUGGCUUUAUGUGAGUCCAAGGAAUUUGAACUCAGUUCCUCAUGCUUAGGUUGCACACUUUACCCUCUGGAUAGUGUACUUAGCUCAUUUUAACUAUUCUUGUUUGUUUGUUUUGAGACAGGAUAUAUCUCUCUGUGUUGUCCUAGAACUCACUAUGUAUACAAGGCUGGUCUAAAACUGAGAGAUUCACCUGUUUCUGCUUCCCUAGUGUUGGGACUAAAAGUGUACACCUCCAUACUCAGCAUGUUUUAGCCAUUCUGAUAGAUAGAAAAUAGUAACUCACAAUGAUUUUGAUUUGCAUUUCCCUAAUGACUAAUGAUGCUGAAUAUCUCUUAUGUGUUUACUUGCCAUCUGUGAAAUCCUCUUUCAUGACUCAGGCAUCUAUUUUUGUUGUUAUAAGUAUUUCUUUUUUUCUGCAAUCUCUAAGGAUUCAAAGGCAAUGGUAAUCAGCUUGUAGAUAAAGGAGUUAAAGAACUCA